Drosophila willistoni is the source of this 549-nucleotide long non-coding RNA. RefSeq lists it as uncharacterized. The record is from RefSeq and is a predicted model, not a curated record. Lineage: Eukaryota; Metazoa; Arthropoda; Insecta; Diptera; Drosophilidae. The transcript has 2 exons.
AAAACGAAUCUAAUUAACCUGAAUUUUAUACUUUGAUUUGUCGAAAUCAAUACUUUCAAAGUAUAUAUACCCAUAAUAACUGUAAGAUAUGGUUAUUAACAUGAAUUUAGCCUGGAUCUUAUUUACUUUAUUCUUUCCUGCUUUGAUUUGGGCAGCAUCGAAGCAUUAUCGCUGCGAUUUUCUACCUUUGGAGCGUGAAGAAGACCCUGAAAACGAUUGUGCAAAUAGAACUAAAGUAUGGAGCUAUAAUAGGGAUAAAAAUGUUUGUUCCUCUUGGGCAUAUUAUGGCUGCCAAAUCGAUGGCAAUAAGUUUCAUACUCGACGCAUAUGCGAAAUUGUUUGCAUUUUCCCAUCCAAAGAUUUUGCCACUAUUGGUCCAAGACCUGACAGGAAUGAAGUGCUAAAGAGAAAAGCUAUCGACGAAAAGGAAAAAAGAUAAGCAUACAUAUGUAUCUCAUUGAGAUGAAUGCAAAUUUUGGUUGGAUUAUUACAUUUUCAAAUGUACCUAGUGUUAUCUCUAUUUAUUAUCUAAUAUAUGCAACAAUCGAA